GUGAUAACAACGUUAUUUAGUUAUUUAUAAAGACAGAAAGGUGGCGCGGAGUGUCUCUGUGAGGUGUCUACAGUCAAACUGUCCUUUUGCAGAGGGAGCCCCGCUCUCUGUCCAGUGUGUGUGUGUGUGUGUGUGUGUGUGUGUGUGUGCAUUUUCUUAUUCAUUGGUGCAUCGGUAUAUUACGUAACCACUGUACCCACACAUGGCAUGUAAAUCAGCGUGACGUCAUAAACAGCAGCUUUCCCAUGUCGUAUUUGAUACACGAGUAUCACACACACACACACACACACACACACACAUUCACCAUGACGCAACAAGCACACAGACCCACACACACACAGACACACACACACACACACAGACAGCGAGUGUGUGUAGGAGAUUAUAAAGUUAAGUUUCAACGCCACAAAAAAACCCCCACUAAUCCUCUGAACGGUUGGAUAAGACAGUCGCAGAUGACAGAUGUGCGUGUGUGUGUGUGUGUGUGUGUGUGUGUGUGUGUGUGUGAGAGAGAGAGAGAGUGAGAGAGGGCAUCCAUCCUAUGAGAAGUGUGCCAGUGUGAGCGUGUGAGGCGGAACAUGUGUGUCGCAAAUGUCUCUAAAGCUGCUGUUCUCUGAUUGGCUGCUGCCCACAUACACUCAACGUGUACCCCACUGAGAUGUGUUCUGUGUGUGUGUGUGUGUGUGUGAGAGAGAGAGAGAGAGAAAGAGAGAGACAGAGGGAGAUAGAGAGGUUAUAAAGGGGGAAGAGAGAUGAAUGGUAUCAGGGAGCAGAGAAACACAGUUGAUCACGUCUGUAACCACUGGCAGCCUCACAGCAGCAGCAGCAGCAGCAGAGAGCCACAGCUGGUGUGAGGAGGACAACAGCUGAGCUAACUGACGGUAACCCCGACAACGGCAGCUCUGGCAACAGUCACCCUGUGGACGAUUCUUCCAAUCCUACACAGCCGACGGAUCCAGUUACCAUGGAGAUCAGCUCCUCACCACCACUAGCAGACCUGGAGAGAGACAACCUUUUCAACUUCCACAACCAGGAAGUGGAGGAACUCCAGUACCCAGAGUUCCACGGGUUGGAAGAAGAUGCAGAGGGAGAAGAUGGAAAAAGGGAAGGAGACGAGUGUGACUAUCUUGUUUUUGAGAUAGAAGAAAGAGGAGGUGAAAGUGAAGAGGGACAAGACGCAGCGAGAGGAGAAAAGGAGGGAGGAAGAGGAGAAAUUGAGGGAGAGGAUGAACUGAGAGGAGAGAUAGAAGGAGAAGAAGGGAGAGGAGAAACAGAGGGGGAAGUUGAAGAAAGUGGAGAAAUCGAAUUUGAAGACAAAGAUAGGGGAGAAGUCAAGGGAGACGAUGGAAGUAAGGUAGAAACCGAGAGCAAAGAUUGUGGGAGCAGAGAGAUAGAGGGAGAAGAUGAAGGAAGUGGAGAAGCAGAGGGAGCGGGAAAAGAAGAUGCUCUGUCGGAGCUUCUCUUCUUCUCCGACAGUCCACUGUGCCCCCCGUCCUCCUCCGAACACCCGACUGUCACCUCAGAGCAGCCAGCGGAGUCGGCCCUGUUGCAGGAUGCCUGGGUUCACGACCUGGGCGACAGGGAUGACCUCAGCGACGGUCACCUGAGCGACUGUCUCCAGGCAGAGUUGGCCGUCGUGUACUCGGACAGUGACGCCGGAGACGACCAGUGGGCGUCCUUCACGGCCACGGAGGUCAGCCAGCAGGAGCAAACGUGCGAUGGAGAGAGCAAGCAAGAGGAGAGAAGAGAGGGGGAAACAGAGGAGGAGAGGAGGGGAGGCAGGGAUGAUGAUGAUGGUGAUGAUCAGCAGCAGACGAUGAGGAGAGAGCUUUUCUUGCAGUCUCCUUCUGCCAGCUCCACAGCCAGCUCCUCGGACCCUGACAAGAGGGCUCCUGCGGAUUUCUGCGUGCACCAGGAGACGCUCAGUGCCAACGUCUCCACCGAGCAUGUCGACUUUCUGCUGGCCCGCCGGCAGUGGAAGAAGAUGGAGGAGGAUGUCAAAGGUCAGCCCAUCCCCAAACCGGGGCUCAGGGCUCAGGGGAGCUUCCAGGGCACCCACACGUCACUGUACCCCCCAACGCGCAGCCCCCGACUCAAACACAGGGAUAUCCAUCCACCAAUGCCCCGGGAGCCGCCGCUGUCCUCCACUCUGUCCCCCAGUUCAGAGGACUCGGGCCUGGAUGACCCGUCGUACCGCAGCCCCCUGGAGGAGCCCGAGAGCGCCGUGGAGAGAGAGAUACGACUGACUCUGGAGAGAGAAGAGAGGCACCGCAGGGAGAGGGGGAGGAUUGCACAGGGUCUGACUGUACCCAGACCAUCCAGCCUGCAGACAGGACGCUCUCCACCCCGACCUCCUGCCUGCCGCACCCCCACUCUGUCCGUCUCUCCUUCCCCUCCCUGCUCCUCUACCCUCCCCCGAUCCGUCUACCAUGAAAUGACCGCCAACAACGUCAUCAUCCUGGAGCCCGACUCCUCCAGCUCCGCCUCCAGGAGCCGCCUACUCUCCUCCGCAAUCGGGGGGUCUCUCCGAUUGGCCGAUGAGCCUGGACGCGGUGCCCUCGGCCAACGUCAUCGUCGUGGAAACCUCCAACUUGAUCAUUCGCAGCGCCUCCGAGUUCUGCCUGAGCGCCGCCGUCGCCGCCGCCCCGGUCACGCUGGAGACGCAGGAGAGCACUUUCUCUCGUCCAAUCCGUUCUUCAAGCUGCGCUCGCUCAGCAGCCAGUCGCUUGUGGAACGGGAGAUCAGGAUGGUGAAGCAGAGGGAGGAGGAGUGGAGGAGGCAGAGGGAGGAGAUGUGGAGGAGGAGGAGAGAGGAGGAGUGGAGGAGAGGGAGGGAGAGGUACGAAACUGUGCUGGUGUCUCCAGGCCUGAAUGAUAACAUCAGCUUCAAUGUGCCAGAGGUUCCAGACAGAUGUGUCUCCUCCCCUUCAUCCCCGUCCAGAAUCCGCAAAAUGGAACGAUCCAGUUUGUCUUGUGACCAUAAGUUCCCCGCUUUCCUCUCUUCAGUGCCUCAACGACAGAACGCCAUGGCACAGAGAUGGGAGGCCUCCCUUUUAGCCAAUCAGAAGAAGGAGUGA
Long non-coding RNA from Scophthalmus maximus (turbot), 3076 nucleotides. NCBI's taxonomy places the organism in Eukaryota, Metazoa, Chordata, Actinopteri, Pleuronectiformes, Scophthalmidae. The record is from Ensembl.